This 351-nucleotide RNase P RNA is filed under the name Candidatus Symbiobacter mobilis CR. RNAcentral's name for it is "Bacterial RNase P class A". It matches the Rfam family "Bacterial RNase P class A". From Rfam's summary of the family: Ribonuclease P (RNase P) is a ubiquitous endoribonuclease, found in archaea, bacteria and eukarya as well as chloroplasts and mitochondria. Its best characterised activity is the generation of mature 5'-ends of tRNAs by cleaving the 5'-leader elements of precursor-tRNAs. Cellular RNase Ps are ribonucleoproteins. Lineage: Bacteria; Pseudomonadati; Pseudomonadota; Betaproteobacteria; Burkholderiales; Comamonadaceae. The record is from Rfam by way of RNAcentral.
GAAGCCUGCCAGGCCGCCGCUGGUGCCAUGGCACUGGAGGAACGUCCGGACUGCACAGGGCAGCGUAGCAGCUAACGGCUGUCCGCCGAAGACCACGGGGAACCUUCGGGAUUUCCUGGGGAAGAAGGCGAGGAUCAGAGCAACAGAGACGAGUCGCCGCCGCAAGCCGGUGGUGGGUGAAACGGGCAAUCUCUACGCGCAGCAAUACCAAGUAGGCACGCGCCGACGGUGCCCCCCGAGCGUGCGGGUAGGUAGCAUUGAGCGCCUGGGUGACCAGACGCCCAGAGGAAUGGCGGUCACGCUGGGGUUUCCCCCGGCGCACAGAAUCCGGCGUAUCGGCAGGCUUCACAC